GCAACUGGCGCUGGGUAGGCAAAGCCGGGAGAAACUGCUGAGACGAGUGGUGCGUGUUUUAAGACCAUGGUUAUGUUCCUGCCGAGAAGGAUCCGACUCUGAGGCAUUGUCAUUGAGGAUGUGGCAGACACGAGGGGUGGGGAGCUCAAGGCCAUUGCUUCGGAGCGAUGAGAGUUGGCGCUGCAGAGAGCAGGAACCAAAAUCUGAAGCCCCAGUGGUCCCCAGAUACACUGAGGUUCACGGCCAAACACGGGCCCAGAGCCCUGACCAGAACCACUGAUGGUGUGACUGGUGGGACCAGAGGGGACCCAAGGCAAACCAGCCCCCUCAGCCGGAAGAGGAGCUCAGAGAGGCCGGCCAUCUUGUCUUCGUAUAGGACACCAUCGGCCACACUCUGAAUAUCCGGCUGGAAGUGUUUUUGUUUUUAUAUUAGAUGCAACGAUCUAAUGUGCAGUAGGAGCCUACUCCUGUCGCAGUUCAGCUGUAUUUCUCAAAGAAGCUAUGAUGUCAGAGUUCUACCAAGACUCCAGAGGAACAGCCUCCUUGCCCAGAGGGGUCUGCUUGGCUAUGCCAAGGUAUACUAAGAGAUGAAAGCCCACAAUCUGCCAUUACUUGACAGACUGGUUUUCCUGGGGUUAUAUAGCCUGGGGUCAAUAUUCCAAGGAACAUACUUUGGGAACAGCCUCAUAACUAAAGGUCUCUCUGUUUCCGUAUCAGUUACCUACUGCUGUGUAACAAAUCACUCCUAACUUAGCGCUUCAGAACAAUAGGUAUUUAUUAUCUCAAAGGGUCUGUGGCUCAGGAAUUCAGAAGUGCCGUAACUGGGCGGGAGGAGAAGGGGGUGACAGAGGAUGAAAUGGUUGGAUGGCAUCACCAAUUCAAUGGACAUGAUUUGAGCAAACUCUGGGAGAUAGUGAAGGGCAGGGGAAGCCUGCCGUGCUGCAGUCCAUGGGUUUGCAAAGAGUCAGACAUGACUCAGCAACUGCACAACAACGUAACUGGCUGGUCCCAGUUUGUGGUCUCCACUGAAGUUGCAGUCCAAACAUCAGCUGGGGCUGCUCUCAUCUGACUGGGGCUGCGGGAUUGGCUUCCGGCUUCCAAGAUGGAGUGCUCACUGGCUGGCUGUUGGCAGGAGGCCUUGGUUUCUUGCCCCAUGGAGUCCUCCACAGAGCUGCUUGAGUUUCCUCAGUAUAUGGCUUCCCCUAGAUGGAUGCCAGCGAGACUGAAACCCUGGUGCCUUGGAAUGCACGUGUGGUCCUUUCCACACUGUCCUCUUGGCCCCGCGGGGGCAGCCCUCUUCAUUGUGGGAAGGGCUGAAGAGGGUGGAAAUCGUCUGGAGACCAUCUUGCAGGCCGACUGCCACGGUAACCAUCUCUCCAGCGCAAGGACAGAUAACUUGCCUCAUUCUCACAACUGGCUUCUUACCAUUUAGUGCCAAUUAGUAACUUUGAGAAGUGACCCUGUAACCUGUGAUGUGAAGGAGGAAAAGAUUAGGAAUUAUCAGCUAUACCAACCCCCAUGAACAGCAGCAAUAACAAUCAUCCAGGCCUGUUUGUUGAGCCUUCACCCCAUGCCUGCUGCCUCAACAGCAUCAUGGCAGUGUGCAAUCCAUGUCCCCAAGGAGCCGGUUCCACAAUAUUUCCAAGUCAGGCCACUCAUUUUUAUGAAAUGUAUAAAGUGAGGUUUUUUUUGUUUUGGCAAUGAUGGCUACAAGGACACAAGUAGCUUUGCCUCCUGGAGACACAGAGAAAAAUUCCAUGACCCGUGUGAACCCGUGUCGGGGAAGACUGAAAUGGGGUGUAAACUCAGGAUGGAUAAAUGCCAAAAAUACAGUAAAUAGGUGAGAUGAAAUAUUUAUUUUGUGUACAUUAGCAAUAUGAGGGGGACGGUCCAGUGGUUAAGACUUGACCUGCCAAUGCAGGGGACACGAAUUGGAUCCCUGGUCUGGGAAGAUCUCACAUGCUGCAGAGCAACUAAGCCCCAUGCACCGCAACUGCUGAGUCCACAUGCUGCAGCUAAGGUAUGAAGCCCGCAUCCCUUAGAGCCUGUGCUGUGCAAUAAGGGAAGCCACCGCAAGGAGAAGCCCGCACGCCAUGACAGAGUAGCCCAUUCUCGCCGCAGUGAAGACCACGCAGCAGUGACGAUCCAGCGCGGCCACAAAUAAAGGAAGAUAACAGGUAAAAUUUCUAAAAUACAGACAAAGAACACGAGGAGUCACGGUGAGCCGAGGGUUCUUUGGUUUUGCCCCAGUCUCAUGCUGGGAAAAAGGGUCACAUCUCUGGUGGUGGCCUAGUGGUGAGGAGCAGGCACCUGGUUGCUCGAGUCACCAUGUCUGUUACUAACUCUGUGACCAGGCAAGUGACCUCACAGCCCUGUCUCCCGUCUGUGAAAUGGGGUGAAAAUGGCCAACUCCUCCUGUUAUGAUGAGGCUUCAGAAGGUUCUGGUAUGCUUUAUCCUGGCAAAGCUGAUGGUGGAUCACCAAGGUGGUGGCACCCUAGGUUCAAAGAACCUUCGUAGAAGUGCCAUUGCCUGGAAAGAUCUUUGCCCUGUGAGCGAGCGUGGACCCAGAGCCACAGAGCAGAUAGUCGCUGCUGCUGGGGACCCCCUAUGGGCGACCCCGGGGGCUGGAAGGAGCUCAGCCCUUGCUUCUGCUGGGGGCAUGUGUGGGCAUGGAGCUGGCCCGGCCCUUUCCUGUCCUGUCCCAGCAUGAUUUCAACAGAGGGAGUGUCCCGGGCGUGUUUUCCCCUCGGAAGUCUCACCCUGCUGAGGUGGGAUUUGGGGAGCCCUGGCUCAAUUUGCUGCCCCAACCAACAGGCCAGGCUUAGAGAUGCUCAGAAACCAGAGUGGGGAUGCAAGUUCCUGACCUGCAGCCUGGGCCUGGCCUGAUGGAAGGUGUUUGGCUCAGGUUGGCUUGACAGCCCUUGACUCCAUCCUUCAGGGCUGUGUGACUCCAGACAAGUGUCUCCGCCUCCCGGGCCCUCAGUUUCCCCAUCCCUAAAGUCUCAGACUGCGCCUGCCUGCCCACCCUAGGAACCUGGGGUUGCCCAGGAGGACACAGAGCUUAUGUAGGUGUUCACGGCGAAGUCCCAGACCACCCGCUUCCUCUCCAAUCAAGAGAGCUCCAUUUCCAUCUCUGGUAUAUUGACGAUCUAAGUAGCACUUCAAUUUUAAAAAGAAGAAAAAAGAAAAGGAAACUCAGCUACAGCAAAACCAAUACAGAAGUUUCCCACCAACUUACUCUGUCCCCUGACUCAUGCCUUCAAGCUCUACAGGAGUAGAGCAGUCCAUCAGCUAGGUUUGGUGACCGCUCCCUUCCAAACAGUUCCUAGUCUCCUGGAUUUGAAUCUCUGUUUCUUUCAGCCUCUGUGAGGUCCCAUGAAGGGUGGGGAGAGGAAGGGGCUUUAGUUGGUAGGGGGCGGUCCACAGAGAUCUUGAGGUGCCAAGGUCAUGGACAGGCUGGGUGUGCUGGCCUCCUCUCUGGACACAUGCUGUGGGCAUCUCAGAUCCGUGCCCCCUCGGCCCCCCUGUGCCCAAGCAUCCCCAGCUUGGGCCCAAGGCCCAGCUGCAUUUGGGCCCCCAGUAGAAGCCAGGGCCAGCCCUUGCUGCCUCUGAAGCGAGGAGUCUGUGGGCCUGGGUGGUCUCUUAGCCCCUCCCAACUUCAACACAAAUUGCUGCAUUUAUGAAGCUCCAGCUGUCUGCAGAGCGGGGUCUGGCAUGGGGGAGGGGUGGAUGCUGUCCUAGGAGGAGGAGCCCCCUCAGCUGGCUGCCUCCGGCUGGACUGGGUAUGGCAGGGCUCAGAGUGGCCCCUGGGCCCCAGGAGGCCCAGGUGUCAGGCCCAGCUGCCAGGCUGCCAUUUGAAACGUCUCCUGUUGGUGGCACUUUGGUAAGUUGCAG
Ovis aries (sheep) is the source of this 3895-nucleotide long non-coding RNA. NCBI's taxonomy places the organism in Eukaryota, Metazoa, Chordata, Mammalia, Artiodactyla, Bovidae. The record is from Ensembl.